Molecule: ribosomal RNA, 484 nt
Filed under: uncultured bacterium
Lineage: Bacteria
Description: partial 16S ribosomal RNA
Rfam family: Bacterial small subunit ribosomal RNA
Source: RNAcentral
AUUGAACGCUGGCGGCAUGCCUAACACAUGCAAGUCGAGCGGAUGAAUGGAGCUUGCUCCUGGAUUCAGCGGCGGACGGGUGAGUAAUUCCUAGGAAUCUGCCUGGUAGUGGGGGAUAACGUCCGGAAACGGGCGCUAAUACCGCAUACGUCCUGAGGUAGAAAGUGGGGGAUCUUCGGACCUCACGCUAUCAGAUGAGCCUAGGUCGGAUUAGCUAGUUGGUGGGGUAAAGGCCUACCAAGGCGACGAUCCGUAACUGGUCUGAGAGGAUGAUCAGUCACACUGGAACUGAGACACGGUCCAGACUCCUACGGGAGGCAGCAGUGGGGAAUAUUGGACAAUGGGCGAAAGCCUGAUCCAGCCAUGCCGCGUGUGUGAAGAAGGUCUUCGGAUUGUAAAGCACUUUAAGUUGGGAGGAAGGGCAGUAAGUUAAUACCUUGCUGUUUUGACGUUACCAACAGAAUAAGCACCGGCUAACUUCGUG